Long non-coding RNA from Branchiostoma floridae (Florida lancelet), 1753 nucleotides. RefSeq lists it as uncharacterized. The transcript is spliced from 2 exons. NCBI's taxonomy places the organism in Eukaryota, Metazoa, Chordata, Leptocardii, Amphioxiformes, Branchiostomatidae. The record is from RefSeq and is a predicted model, not a curated record.
ACAGAAUAACUUCUUUUAUAAUAGUUCCUUGAAAUAUGGAUUUGGUUUUAGUCAGUCGCAACUAGUUAGUUAAAUUUUGCUCUUAAGUGUAAUCACUAACUUACCAGCAGUAAUUUGACCUAUACCUAAAUGUAUACCUAACAUGUCUGCUUUCUGGCAAAAGGUACAAAUGUACAUUGAAAUUUGAAGCCAUGGACAUGACUUUGGAGAAGAGAUGAGGUUGUAUGAUGUACCUCUCCAGAACCUACCUUCCCAGCGCUAGCAAGGAACCAUUGUGAGAAUGGUUUUGGACCAUGAUGGUUAACAGAACAGGUGAUGAAGGAAACUCCCAGCGAGCCCAGCACAAGGCCAGCAGUUUGUUUGUACAGACCCUCUCCAUCCCCCUCAUGAACCUGCCCUGGAAGGGAGAAGGCAUUCUUGGCAUGUGCUCGCCAACCCCAGUGUUUAUUGUUUAUGGCUGCGUGGCUCCAGUUCUUCUGCUGGAGACACUCCAAUCUAUGUCUGGGGAGGGCUGUCCGCCCCACAAGGGCAGAGGUAGUGCCCUGGGUGACCUCCCUGUUCUGGGUGGGCUGGGCCCUGUUGCUGCCACUUCUCCCUGGAGAUGGGAAGUAGUGGGGAGGGAUUAGGAUCCCUGACUUACCUUUCAUCAGCUUCUACAGGAUGGAAACUGGAGGGGAGGAACUACAAGGGAAAUAGGAAAGGCAAGAGGGGUGGACAUGACAGUGUUCUCGGCAAGGUUUCCUCAGCACACAUGGGAAGAUGCACUCAAGUACUUCACCCCAUCCUGAUGUGAGCUGUCAUGAGGUGGCACACGUAUAGACAGCAACCAACUGUUUCCACCCUCACGACAGCACUAGUCACCAGCAACUCAAAAGUGAAAGAGAAUCAUGUGGAAUUUUGUAAUUUAUGGUACGUUCAGUUUAUCGGUUUUGAGGUUAGUUCAUGUUACUUUAUGUACAUUUUGUACAUACAUUGUAUGUAUCAUCUAAGGUUUUGUUUCAUUCCAUUAUGUAUCAAACAAGUUUCCCUAUAUGGUCCUUCUAUGUAUAAAGUAUUUAUUUUCCUGUGGAUUGGCGUGCAUGCUUCAUUAGCAUGUGCAUAAUACACUUAAGUCUUAUUGUUGAGAUUGUUACUGUUUUACAGAUAUUAUUAUUGUUAUAUUGUUAUGUUAACUGUUAGUUACUGUUCCUAACUGCAGGACUAUUUUGUCCUGUCAUAUCCUCCUGUAUAAUUUCCAGAGACUACAUAUACAUGUCAUGUAUAUGAAACAAUUUCUAUUUAUUUUCCUCAUUUACCUAUGGGUAUCUAACACCUUUGUCUUGAUGUUUUCUUUAAAGGUAAUUUAUACACAUGGCUCUUCUUUUUCUCUGUACAUGUGUAUAUACGUUGUAGUAAUGUUUCCCUCCUUCUUCAUGCCUUGUCCAACAAACAUGCCUUUACAAAGUCACAAGUACUCACAACUAAACAAAAGGAAAAACUAUUUAUCCAAAGCGAUAAAGUGCAUGUUUAUGUUGAGGUUUAGGUUUAUUGUGAAGUUAACUAUCUACAAUGAAAAUGUACAUUCCCUUUUGUGUGCAACACAUCAAACUGAAGUGUAUACAAACCUAUCAAAGUUUGAUAUCUGUUAACACACAGUAAUUUCCACAAAGUUUUAAAUGCUGAUGUUCUAUGUACAUGUAUAUUUGGGAAUCAUUUGGAAUAAAGUAAAAUCUACAGUGUGUCUCUGCAAAUAAAUAAAAUGAGCAUAUCAAAA